ACAGAGUUUGAUCCUGGCUCAGGACGAACGCUGGCGGCGUGCUUAACACAUGCAAGUCGAACGAUGAAGCCCGGCUUGCUGGGUGGAUUAGUGGCGAACGGGUGAGUAACACGUGAGUAACCUGCCCUUGACUCUGGGAUAAGCGUUGGAAACGACGUCUAAUACCGGAUACGAGCUUCCACCGCCAUGGUGAGUUGCUGGAAAGAAUUUUGGUCGAGGAUGGACUCGCGGCCUAUCAGCUUGUUGGUGAGGUAGUGGCUCACCGGGGCGACGACGGGUAGCCGGCCUGGGGGCCUGACCGGCCACACUGGGACUGAGACACGGCCCAGACUCCUACGGGAGGCAGCAGUGGGGAAUAUUGCACAAUGGGCGAAAGCCUGAGGCAGCAACGCCGCGUGAGGGACGACCGCCUUCGGGUUGUAAACCUCUUUUAGCAGGGAAGAAGCGAAAGUGACGGUACCUGCAGAAAAAGCACCGGCUAACUACGUGCCAGCAGCCGCGGUAAUACGUAGGGUGCAAGCGUUGUCCGGAAUUAUUGGGCGUAAAGAGCUCGUAGGCGGUUUGUCGCGUCUGCUGUGAAAUCCCGAGGCUCAACCUCGGGUCUGCAGUGGGUACGGGCAGACUAGAGUGCGGUAGGGGAGAUUGGAAUUCCUGGUGUAGCGGUGGAAUGCGCAGAUAUCAGGAGGAACACCGAUGGCGAAGGCAGAUCUCUGGGCCGCUACUGACGCUGAGGAGCGAAAGGGUGGGGAGCAAACAGGCUUAGAUACCCUGGUAGUCCACCCCGUAAACGUUGGGCGCUAGAUGUGGGGACCAUUCCACGGUUUCCGUGUCGUAGCUAACGCAUUAAGCGCCCCGCCUGGGGAGUACGGCCGCAAGGCUAAAACUCAAAGGAAUUGACGGGGGCCCGCACAAGCGGCGGAGCAUGCGGAUUAAUUCGAUGCAACGCGAAGAACCUUACCAAGGCUUGACAUAUACGAGAACGGGCCAGAAAUGGUCAACUCUUUGGACACUCGUAAACAGGUGGUGCAUGGUUGUCGUCAGCUCGUGUCGUGAGAUGUUGGGUUAAGUCCCGCAACGAGCGCAACCCUCGUUCUAUGUUGCCAGCACGUAAUGGUGGGAAUUCAUGGGAUACUGCCGGGGUCAACUCGGAGGAAGGUGGGGACGACGUCAAAUCAUCAUGCCCCUUAUGUCUUGGGCUUCACGCAUGCUACAAUGGCCAGUACAAAGGGCUGCAAUACCGUAAGGUGGAGCGAAUCCCAAAAAGCUGGUCCCAGUUCGGAUUGAGGUCUGCAACUCGACCUCAUGAAGUCGGAGUCGCUAGUAAUCGCAGAUCAGCAACGCUGCGGUGAAUACGUUCCCGGGCCUUGUACACACCGCCCGUCAAGUCAUGAAAGUCGGUAACACCCGAAGCCAGUGGCCUAACCGCAAGGAUGGAGCUGU
RNAcentral lists this ribosomal RNA (1440 nucleotides) under Plantibacter elymi (nom. nud.). RNAcentral's name for it is "bacterial SSU rRNA". It matches the Rfam family "Bacterial small subunit ribosomal RNA". Lineage: Bacteria; Bacillati; Actinomycetota; Actinomycetes; Micrococcales; Microbacteriaceae. The record is from RNAcentral.